This 253-nucleotide ribosomal RNA is filed under the name uncultured bacterium. RNAcentral's name for it is "partial 16S ribosomal RNA". It matches the Rfam family "Bacterial small subunit ribosomal RNA", at positions 524 to 776 of the family's 1533-position model. The record is from RNAcentral.
UACGUAGGUGACUAGCGUUGUCCGGAUUUACUGGGCGUAAAGAGCGCGCAGGCGGUCGUUCAAGUCGAGUGUGAAAGCCCCCGGCUCAACUGGGGAGGGUCAUUCGAUACUGAUCGACUCGAAGGCAGGAGAGGGAAGCGGAAUUCCCGGUGUAGUGGUGAAAUGCGUAGAUAUCUGGAGGAACACCGGUGGCGAAGGCGGCAUCCUGGACCAAUAUUGACGCUGAGGAGCGAAAGCCAGGGGAGCAAACGGG